UACGGAGGAUCCAAGCGUUAUCCGGAAUUACUGGGCGUAAAGAGUUGCGUAGGUGGCAUGGUAAGUUGAUAGUGAAAUCCUGGGGCUCAACCCCUUACCCAUUAUCAAAACUGCCAAGCUAGAGGACAAGAGAGGUCACUGGAAUUCCUAGUGUAGGAGUGAAAUCCGUAGAUAUUAGGAGGAACACCGAUGGCGUAGGCAGGUGACUGGCUUGUUCCUGACACUAAGGCACGAAAGCGUGGGGAGCGAACGGG
This 254-nucleotide ribosomal RNA is filed under the name uncultured bacterium. RNAcentral's name for it is "partial 16S ribosomal RNA". It matches the Rfam family "Bacterial small subunit ribosomal RNA", at positions 524 to 776 of the family's 1533-position model. The record is from RNAcentral.